GUAGGCUGCAACUCGCCUACACGAAGCUGGAAUCGCUAGUAAUCGCGGAUCAGCACGCCGCGGUGAAUACGUUCCCGGGCCUUGUACACACCGCCCGUCACACCAUGAGAGUCUGUAACACCCAAAGCCGGUGGAUAACCUUUAUAGGAGUCAGCCGUCUAAGGUAGGACAGAUGAUUAGGGUGAAGUCGUAACAAGGUAAC
Molecule: ribosomal RNA, 202 nt
Filed under: uncultured bacterium
Lineage: Bacteria
Description: partial 16S ribosomal RNA
Rfam family: Bacterial small subunit ribosomal RNA
Source: RNAcentral